GUCAGGCCACGUAUCAUUAUGUCCCCAUGUCUCCUUAUUUGCUUCUCCUCUAAUUUUGUUCAUGGCAAUACUCCCCUCUCUCCAAUCCAUCCUCUUCUCCGGGUGGUUCACCGACGAGGCCACCGGAGGCAGCCUAAAUACGCGCACGAGGUGGCCCAGGUCCGUGGCUGCUCCUCCCACCAGCUUCACUGACUCGCCGCCGGCGUUUCAUCUAGGGUGAGCUGAAGAGAGGCGGCGCCAUACACGCUAAGCCGGUGCUCGCGCGAGGUGCAGGAGGAGGAGGGCAUCCCGGAGCUCGAGGAGGAGGACGAUGCGGUCGUCGUCAAGGAGGUGUCCAGGAAGCGCCCCGUGCCUGCCGCCCGCAGCCACCGCAUCUAGCAGGCGCCGGCGCAGCCUCUCGUGCCGCCGGCGCACUGGAAGUCUUGUGAGAGCACGGACGUUGUCGGCGAGAUCAAGGCGUAGUUCGUUCGCUCGAGCAGCCGAUGCAGUUUGGGCGCUCACGCCAAUCCUGGAGAUCGAGACACCAGUGCCAUCGCCGGACCUCAGUGUACCAUGAGCCGAUGCAAGCUGCCCUUGCCGAGCUCUUUCGUCUCCGACAGCCGUGGCAGGUGUCAGGUCCCGCUCUGGUGUCACAUCCAUCUCCAAGGGGCUCCGGCUCUACGGUGAGAAAUCCUCACAUGGACGACGUCUCGCUAAUUUCUCCAUGGUCUCCACGCAUCGGCUCUUCGCGGCGGCGUCCGCUGCAGCAAGCCCACCGACCCAGUCCUGGAGCUCGACGACGCCGACGUCAUAUUGAGUAGAGGAGGCGUGGUGGCAUCCUCGCUGGUCGACGUGUACGGGCGCGCUCUGUCCAUGUUCACGCCCGCCUCCAGGGCUCUAAGUUGCGCUCUGUCGCACGGUGGGAGGCCGCCGGUGGCAUUGGCGGACUGCGUAUGUCCGUGAACGUCCCGUACUGCAGACGGUGCGUCCGCAUGGUCACCGAUCUGGGGUGCUGUCUCGGAGCCUGCUGCGGCUCCUCCAGGCGGUGGUGUCCGUGCAUUGCGCGCCGAGCUUGUGCCUGUAGGCAGCACAUCUGCUGGUGGAUAGCGGUCGCGGGGCAGGGGUUCGUUCCCACAGGGUCCCUAAAUUGGGCAAAAUUUACCUGGUUGUGGGAGCAGGGGCGCUAAGGCUGGUGCGCACGCCACAUCGAGCCAAGCGGCCAACACAUGGAUUUUAAAGCUUGCCCAUGCAAUUCUAUGUAAUUAAUGCACCAAAUCCUUUCCUGACUUGAUUGGAAUAAGCCUUAGGCUAUGCACAUUUUGAAAUGGUUGUUGCAGUGCGUCGGAUUGCCAGAGGUAUAGCACCAUGCCUCCUUUUAGCAGCCAAUCUGUACCUGGAGUACCAAAUAAAGAACAAAAGAUUUGUGAAGAUCUGGGAGUUUAGGAGCACAGAUAAAAAAAUUCUAUACUCGCUUCAUUUCAUCGCUGUUGACCAGCAGAAAAGCACGAUGGAAGGUUUAAUUCCUGGUAAAUAGAUCAGUUUAGGGAUCUACAGAAAGAGGGGUCUGUUUGUUCUGUUUAGUGGUUCGAUUUAUAUACGAUCCUAAGAAGAGCUACAGAUCAGCGGAUCAUCCUCUGAGGAUUUGCUUUAUUUGGACGACUAUUCUUACAGAGAUAGUGCCAUGGCCGGCGGAUUUUCCUUCCUUUGGGUGUACUUAUCCUCCAUUUAGCAUGUUGUUGGAUCUCAUCGACAUGAACUUAGUGUUAUCUGAUGUUGUUGUAUUGGAGAACAAAGUCACUGAUAUUUUGCCUCCUUCUGGCAACGGCAAGAACCGGGAGCGACAUGUGUAUAUCACAGAUGACAGCGAUCAUGCUAUUGUUACCUUAUGGGGAGAACAAGCUGAUUCAUUUGAUGCUGAUGGAUUGAUGGAGGCAUCAAAUGAGGAGUAUGUUAUUGUCUUAUUUGUUUGCAUGACAUCCAGUCAAAGUAAUAUAUUUUCUCCAUUUAAACCCAUUUUUUUUAUUGUUUUGGUUUUUUUUUCAAGCAUAGAUCCGAGAUUUCCAAAUAUAUCAACCUUGAACUUUCUAUUUUGCGCUAACCGUAUUGGCUAAUGUUUUGUAAAUUUGUUGGCUUUUAAGACUUCAUUUGUUACAAGAUGGUAUGUAAUAUGUUAAUCCACCUAUUCCAGAAGUUGUCGCGGUUCGAGAAAGGGCGAAGCAUUUGCCGUGGCGUGUUGAGUUACACGAUGGUAACCUGGGUCAUGUUGAGCCGAUUGUAUUGAUAAUUGCAGAGACAUCAAACAUUUCAGCCAAAUGAAAUCAUGGGUGAGCGUUACAAGAUAGCCAUUAGAAUUACCGAGGUUCUCACGGACAAGGGUUGGUAUUAUAUAAGCUGGAAAGAAUGUUGAAGAAACUUACAUUAGAGGAUGGAGUUCACAAGUGCUCUUGGUGCCCAACUGUUAUACCUCUGCCAAGGUUCGUUGUUCGACCAGUUGAUGCUUCUUCAAGAGAUCCACAUAACGCAGAAUUUGCACAACUUUUUUGUUUCGACCUCGCCUGGAGGUUGUCGUCAGACAAGAAGCGUUGCAACUUGCGACAAGCGUGAUAGGAUAGUCUAUUGCAGUACCAUAGGAUUUUCUUGCUAUCGUGGGAAGGGAAGUGAGUGACACUGUGACUCCAAGGAGGGAGCCCCUAGGCGCAUUGCACAAUCAUCUCCAGGUGCAAGCUGCUGAGUUGAUUGUCCUUUCCAAUGUUUCCCGGCGACAGGGCAUAGAUGACUCACUGGUGGGUCCGAACAAUAAGAGCCUCUCUGUUCCUGAAACUUCAAAGAAGGUUGAAGGUCCUAACAAGACUUCAACUCCGCCACCGCCUAUGGAUCACACUUCACAAAGUGAAUCAUCGUCAGCCCCUGCUAUUGAUGAGUUAUGAUUGCGUUAUUUUGGUAGAUCAUUAACGUCUUUGUGGUUUCUUGGGUUUUUGACAAGAGAUGUGUUUCUGUUGUAGGUUGCUUCUGAUACCGCCAAUAGAACAAAGCGCAAGACUGCUACUACAGUCAAGAUCCCCAAGCCCAAGAAGGGACUGCACUUCAACCAUGAUGACUAGGUUCUUGCAUGCAUGUUCCUCUGUGUGAAGCGUACAGGUCGCCUAAGUUGUGAAGAGUGUUCUAUUGUCUGGGCAUGUUGUUUUAACCGCAGUUUCUGUUAUCUACGGACUGUCCUUUAUCUGGUACACGCAGCGAAGAGACUUCACUGUAGGCCCAGUUUGUGUUGUUCAAGGCCCAUGUGUUUAGGCCUGGGAAUCUCUUUUAUUUUUGUAUAUCUAGGCCCUGUUAAUUUUCUGGAUUGUGUAUUUAUGUUUUAUCUGUUGCCUAAACUCAGGCUUUAUCCAGGGUCAGUUAAUUA
Molecule: RNA transcript, 3379 nt
Organism: Lolium perenne
Lineage: Eukaryota; Viridiplantae; Streptophyta; Magnoliopsida; Poales; Poaceae
Source: RefSeq, a predicted model, not a curated record